RNAcentral lists this ribosomal RNA (431 nucleotides) under uncultured bacterium. RNAcentral's name for it is "bacterial SSU rRNA". It matches the Rfam family "Bacterial small subunit ribosomal RNA", at positions 29 to 507 of the family's 1533-position model. The record is from RNAcentral.
AACGAACGCUGGCGGCAGGCUUAACACAUGCAAGUCGAACGGUCUCUUCGGAGGCAGUGGCAGACGGGUGAGUAACGCGUGGGAAUCUACCUAGUUCUACGGAACAACAGAGGGAAACUUCUGCUAAUACCGUAUACGCCCUACGGGGAAAGAUUAUCGGAAUUGGAUGAGCCCGCGUAAGAUUAGCUAGUUGGUGGGGUAAUGGCCUACCAAGGCGACGAUCUUUAGCUGGUCUGAGAGGAUGAUCAGCCACACUGGGACUGAGACACGGCCCAGACUCCUACGGGAGGCAGCAGUGGGGAAUAUUGGACAAUGGGCGCAAGCCUGAUCCAGCCAUGCCGCGUGAGUGAUGAAGGCCUUAGGGUUGUAAAGCUCUUUCAGUGGGGACGAUAAUGACGGUACCCACAGAAGAAGCCCCGGCUAACUUCGUG